Molecule: ribosomal RNA, 377 nt
Filed under: uncultured Stichotricha
Lineage: Eukaryota; Ciliophora; Spirotrichea; Stichotrichida
Description: SSU rRNA
Rfam family: Eukaryotic small subunit ribosomal RNA
Source: RNAcentral
CCAGCUCCAAUAGCAUAUAUUAAAGUUGUUGCAGUUAAAAAGCUCGUAGUUGGAUUUCUGGAAGGGUCUCAAUGUCCGCUGUUUGCGUGUGCAGCGAGGCCCUUCCAUCCUUCUGUUAACGUUUCUUGGUAUUCACUUACUGGUUUCGGGCUCAGAUAUUUUACCUUGAGAAAAUUAGAGUGUUUCAGGCAGGCUUGCGCCGGAAUACAUUAGCAUGGAAUAAUAGAAUAGGACUUUAGACUCCUUUGUUGGUUUGAGGGUCUGAAGUAAUGAUUAAUAGGGAUAGUUGGGGGCAUUAGUAUUUAAUUGUCAGAGGUGAAAUUCUCGGAUUUGUUAAAGACUAACUUAUGCGAAAGCAUUUGCCAAGGAUGUUUUCA